This 289-nucleotide ribosomal RNA is filed under the name Sarcophaga peregrina. Its description in RNAcentral is "partial 16S ribosomal RNA". Lineage: Eukaryota; Metazoa; Arthropoda; Insecta; Diptera; Sarcophagidae. The record is from RNAcentral.
UCUGGUAUGAAAGGUUUGACGAGAUAUUAACUGUUUCAUAAAAAUUUAUAAUAGAAUUUUAUUUUUUAGUCAAAAAGCUAAAAUAAUAUUAAAAGACGAGAAGACCCUAUAAAUCUUUAUACAUAGAUUAUUAGAAUUUCAUAGAUUUUUUUUGUUAUAAUAAUUAAUUGUAUUUUAUUGGGGUGAUAUUAAAAUUUAAUAAACUUUUAAUUUUAAAAAUCAUUAAUUUAUGAAUAAUUGAUCCGUUAAUAACGAUUAGAAAAAUAAGUUACCUUAGGGAUAACAGCGA